GCGACUAUAGCUCAGUUGGUUAGAGCACCACCUUGACAUGGUGGGGUCACUGGUUCGAGUCCAGCUAGUCGCACCA
RNAcentral lists this transfer RNA (76 nucleotides) under Actinobacillus equuli. RNAcentral describes it as "tRNA-Val(gac)". It matches the Rfam family "tRNA". From Rfam's summary of the family: Transfer RNA (tRNA) molecules are approximately 80 nucleotides in length. Their secondary structure includes four short double-helical elements and three loops (D, anti-codon, and T loops). RNAcentral also lists the same sequence under 1 other name. Lineage: Bacteria; Pseudomonadati; Pseudomonadota; Gammaproteobacteria; Pasteurellales; Pasteurellaceae. The record is from RNAcentral.